This is a long non-coding RNA of Vicia villosa (hairy vetch), 2342 nucleotides long. RefSeq lists it as uncharacterized. The transcript is spliced from 7 exons. The record is from RefSeq and is a predicted model, not a curated record. Lineage: Eukaryota; Viridiplantae; Streptophyta; Magnoliopsida; Fabales; Fabaceae.
CAAAAACGUGAACACGCUAUGCUCUCUUCUUUCUCCGUGAAAACCCUAGCGCCGCCGCAUUCCCUCAUCAGUUUUCCGACCACCACGAACUCAAAAUGAAAAAAUAACAACAUAUUCAUACUCCUCAAUUCGUGGCCUAUCUAGUGAACCAUAACGUUUUCCAUUUCGAGCCACCGCCGUCGAACCACCUUCCGCCUCUCCUUCCGGCCACCGCUCCUCCAAUCGAAGAAAUGAGGUCAUUUUCGUGCUUAUCAUUAUGUGACCUUCAACUUGAACCAGUUGUAUUUUUUGGAUUCAAUUAGAGUUUCUAAGGCAACUACGGUAUGGUUCUUAGGCUUUGUGAGUUAGGAGUUUUAUUUACUAUUCUUGACCUGUAUUAUUACUCUUUUGACAUUGGCUUGAGUUUUGCAAACAAGGUGUUUGUUGAAAUUCCUCUGAACAAAUUUGAGGGUUAGUGACUCCCUGUAUUAUUACUUUAGACUAAUUUAUGCUCUAGUUUAGAAUGAUAUUUUUUAUAUUUAAAACAAAUUCAUGCAGGUACAAAAAGAAAAAUUACUGAACAAAUUCAAGACUAAAACAAUGUAAAGAAAGAAAGAAAAAGACAAGAAUUUUAUGUUAAUGAUACUAAGUUAUUGUUUGUCAUGAAUUAAAGGUAUAUGGUGCAAGGAGCAGAAGCAGUUCAUGCAGCAAAUCCAAAUGUUCUUGUAAUUUUAUCUGGAUUUAAUUUUGCCAGAGACUUAUCAUUUUUUUCCAAAAGACCAGUGAAGCUAUCAUUCCAAGGGAAAUUAGUAUUUGAAGCACACUGGUAUGGAUUCAAUGAUGGUGAAGCUUGGCUAAGAGGGAACCCAAAUCAGGAAGCAAAAGUACCAUACUGUGCUAUAGCUAGUUCAAUUUGAUGGGUUAAGUCAAGAAAGUCAGCCCAUAGCCAACAUAUUUUAUUGAAGAAUUUUAUUACAAGAUAGAGCAUUCAAGGCGUAUUAAUACACCAUAAGUGGCUGAUCUCAUACAGAGAAGCAAAAGACUUGAUCCCAUUAAUUGGCCAGGAUUAGUUUGUCUUGAUGUUAUUUAUCAGACAUGAGUUAGAGAACAAAGAGAAAGUAGCAGGCAAGAUUUAUAUAGCAAGAGCCUGUCAUAGAACAAUUGGGCAUCAUCUUCCUGACAAGGCAAUUGAUUUAGUCGACAAGGCAUGUGCAAAUGUGAGAGUUCAACUUGAUAGUCAGCCAGAAGAAAUUGACAAUCUUGAAAGAGAAUGCAACUAGAAGUGGAGCUUCAUGCUCGAGAGAAAGAGAAGGACAAAGCUAGCAAAGCUCGUAUUGUAGAUGUGCGGAGAGAACUUGACGAAUUAAGAGACAAGCUUCAACCUCUAAAGAUGAAGUAUAGCAAAGAAAAAGAGAGAAUUGAUGAGAUUCAAAGGCUGAAGCAGAAACGUGAAGAGCUCUUAUUCGCACUACAGGAGGCUGAGAGGCGGUAUGAUCUAGCCAAAGCUGCAAACCUACGAUAUGGUGCAAUUGAAGAGGUGGAAACUGCCAUAAAAAACCUUGAAGGUAGCACUGAUAGUAACACCGAUGAGAGUCUGAUGUUGACUGAAACUGUUGUUGUCUAAUUUGAGAUUAAGGAAGUGAAGUUCCUAGCAACUUACCUGGAGGGUUCAGUGAAUUAAUUCCCAGAGAGUUGACAACUACUAUUUGACCUUAAAUAAAUGCUUUCUUGGAAGGGUUCAAUGAAUUAAUUCCCAGAAAGUUGAUAUCCAUAUUCAAUGACAAAGAGCUGGAGUUAUUGAUCAGUGGGCUUCUGAUAUUGAUUUGGAUGACUUGAGAGCAAAUACAGAAUAUUCUAGAUAUAGUGCUGCAUCGCCGGCUAUUCAAUGGUUUUGGGAGGUUGUCCAAGAUUUAAGCAAAGAAGACAAGGCUCGGUUUUUGCAAUUUGUGACUGGCACGUCCAAGGUGCCUUUGGAAGGUUUUAGUGCUCUUCAUGGAAUUUCAGGCUCCCAGAAGUUUCAGACACAUAAAGCAUAUGGAAGUCCUGAUCACUUGCCUUCUGCUCAUACUUGUUUCAAUCAAUUGGAUUUGCCGGACGUAUCCAUCUAAACAACAUUUGGAAGAGAGGUUACUGCUCGCGAUUCACGAAGCAAGUGAGGGAUUUGGAUUUGGUUAAAAUGUUGUUUUACGUUUUAGAGUAGGAGUUUUUUCAUAAUAUAAUGGAACAGUGUACCAGUUUAUUAUCCCAGGAUGUCAAACGGUUCAUUAGUAGCUUGGUUGUUUGAGUAUUUUUAGUAAUGUGACUAUGUAAGUACUUGUUACUAACUUUGUAAUAUUUUUUAUAGUAACAAAUUGUUCUAUGAA